This 1519-nucleotide long non-coding RNA is filed under the name Fukomys damarensis (Damara mole-rat). RNAcentral describes it as "lncRNA (ENSFDAG00000032597.1)". Lineage: Eukaryota; Metazoa; Chordata; Mammalia; Rodentia; Bathyergidae. The record is from RNAcentral.
GUUGCAGUAUGCACGGACUUCUGCCAACCCUGAGGAGUCGCCAAGCAGGCUUCUGCUUGGUUUGCAACGAGCUCUGUGGCCCGCUCAGCUCCCGUGUGAGCUGCUCAGCGGUGGACCCGGGGUCUCCAAAGCCAGAGACGUGUAGAGCAGUGCCGCUCCUGGAUCCUCGACUUCUCCCCACCAUGGAGGCCUCUCCGGUUCCAGCUGCAGCCUCACUGAAAAGCUUCUCUUUCGAACCCUACGGUGAGUUUGGUCUGGAGAAGAGGAAGAGGAGAGAAGCCUCCAGGAACCCUACCAGACAGCUCCUGAAGACCACACACCCUCUUUUCAGCUCUGGGGCCACUGCCCAUCAGGGAGAGGUGGGAGGUGUGGUCCUCUUCCUCACCCACAAUGGUGGUCCUUUUGAGGAAGCACCAGGAAGGGGCUUCCCCACAGGGCAGGCGGAAGCCCUUCCCAAAGUCCCGUCAACACAGCUGCCUCACACUUCCCUGCAAACUGGGGGCAGGGCCACAGCAGCUGACCCCUCGUGUGUCUUGGGACUCUGUCCUUUAACUUCUGUUGUUCAAGGAAAGAAACGGAGGUGGCUGCUGGCGGGAGGUUGAAACUAACCACAGAUCCUUUCUCCUCACAUCAAAAGGCAGAGUGCAGCUCCUUCUCCUCAGGUUGGGUUGGUUGGCGGUGACCUCCUGUGACCUUCAGGAGGAUGCGCCCAAAAGGAUGUCAUGCAGGUGUACAACUCCCAGACGGCCUCCUCCCUUCCUUCAGGACCCGGAAACCAGCUGGUCAGCCCGGUAGCCUGCCGGGAGAGAGCAGCCCCAAGCACGAGGGAGUCGUCAUCAACCAUCGGUCAAUGAGAAGUGAUCAAAAACUACAGUGAAUGUUUAAAUACAAGUAUUUCUUUCAGUGAAAGACCCAGUGCCAUUGUUUCCCCUCUGAGUACUCAGAAUAGUCCCCCGCACGAGCCCACAGACCCCAUGUGUCCUUUGCUGUCCUGAUUUUUAUUUAAACUUCCCUGUGAUCUUUGCUCGCCCAUCAUAACAGCGCCGUUACUGUGCCUCCUCUGUCUGGGUCGCUGCACUUGGUAGGUUCCACGUAGGUAUGCGUCGCCCCCAGCAGCAAGGGUCAGCACGGAAGAGAAGACUGAGAGUGAGAAGCCCUCAGGGAAGAGCUGCACGCAGAGCCCAGAGAUCGGGAGCUGGAGAGGAGAGGCCCGGAGAGGGAAAGACCAGCAGGCAGGCAGGGGCAGCCCAGGGUUCCGGGAGGGCGAGCAGAGAGCAUGCAGCCCUUCAUCCCUGGGCCUCAUCGGGGCUGGGGCCGGGGGAUAAUCUCACCCCAGCAGGAGCUUCCCUUUCUGCCAGGAGACAGAAGUAAUGCAGGUGAAACCUUCAGAGAGGAUUAAAGUGCCCCACGUGGAACAGUUCAGGCCUUCACACAGAACUGCUGGGGUCGGUUCACCGGCUCUCCCUGGCCUGGCCUGGAGGCAGCCGAGUCUCGCAUCCUCUGUGGGUGGAGAAUGGAG